Molecule: long non-coding RNA, 2961 nt
Organism: Cydia pomonella (codling moth)
Lineage: Eukaryota; Metazoa; Arthropoda; Insecta; Lepidoptera; Tortricidae
Exons: 2
Source: RefSeq, a predicted model, not a curated record
UUUGUUUCAACAUAUAGUAGGAAUUAAUAUGAUUAUGUAUAAAAAUGAUUGAUAAUAAUAACUGAAUAUGACAUCGCAUUGUAUACUGCUUAAUUUAAUUAUUGUUUUUGAACUAGCUUAAUAAUUUUAGUUACAAUAAUUGUGUAACAGAGGCGAUUAAGGGAUAGUCACGAUAGCGUUCUAAAAGUCGUUGCGGAAAGGAUGUGUAGCUGACGUAGCUGUUAUAUACAAAAACAAUGGGUAGACAGUCUCAAAGGGUGCGUGUCUUAUGAUAAAUAGUGCAUGCAGCCGUAAAAUAAUGUGAUUUGUAGUAUUUAAUUUUAAAAUAUAUUUUUAUAAUGUGUAUGCUAGUCUUAAGGUAUUUAUCUAUGGGCCACUACUUGCCUGAAAUAAAGGUAUAUAUAUAAAAAAAUAAAAAAUAAAUUGUAAGUACCUACCUGUUAACAUUUUGUGCCCUAUCAGGAUGUCAUGUACCAACUAAAUGAAACUAACAUUUUUUGUAAUGAACAUGACAUGUAAUGUUGAAUACUUAAAUUGGACAUGUUUGUUUGAGUAAUUUGUUAAAACUAUUUUUUUAAGUGUUUCUAUUAAAACUUCAUUAAGGUGACAUGUCAGUGACAGAUUGAACGGCAAUAAUUGUGGCAGUAAUGCGGUAGCGAAAGUCACUUAAUUUUAUAAAAGAGAUUGACAGAUACAGCAACGACAUUAAGGUCGUGGCAGUAAUGUCGCAACAGUAUUGUAGCUGUUGACAUUCUCAUGUCACCUUUAACCUCCAGUGACCCAAUCCCAAUGUCCUUUUAAAAGGUAAAUUUUUUUUAUACCACGUCGGUGGCAAACAAGCAUACGGCCCACCUGAUGGUAAGCAGUCACUAUAGCCUAUGGACGACUGCAACUCCAGAGGUAAUGGAAUAAAAAAAAGUUCCAAAUUCAAAACUGCAAAAAUGAUCAAAUUUAUACUGUUGUCUGUCAUGUGUGUGUGUUUAAACAGAUAAGGGUCUUAGGUGUAAAAAAUCAUAUAGUACCGUUGGUGUCAACUUGGUGGUAACUAGCGCAAACAGCCCUUCAUACUAAAUGUACGACAAACAUGUUCCUUAUAAUAUGGCUUUUCUAGUGCCCUAACCUAGGUUGUCUUUAAGAAUCUUUUGAUCCUGAAAUUCCUGAAUAGAAAUGGAUUCGAUUGGCAUCCAAAGAAAUUCACAAUUAUCGACUUUGAAAAAGUUUACUGUCUGUAGGUACACAUUUUCCAAAAUCUGAAAAUGUCAAUCGUCCUUAAUUAAAAAGUUUGGGAGAUCUCCUAUAGUUAUUUGUGUCCCAAGGGAGGAAAAAUAGGAAAUUGCGUGCCGCGUGUAAAAUUGUCACCUGAGCCGAAGGCGAGGGUGGCAAACACGCGGGAUGGAAUGUCCUACGUUUCUUCCCGUGGUGCGCAUACUAUUUUUCUGCUCGACGGAGGCGGAAAGAGGCAACUCAACUACGUUUAGCGCAGCGGGAGCAAAGUUGACUCUUUCUGCCUCGAGGGCAGAAAAGACUAUUUUCAUUUAUUUCAUGUAUUCAAUAAUGUAUUGUCAUGUUACAUAAUAGGUGUUACAUUAAAUAAAUAAGGCCAGUUCAUGACACCCUGUAAGGGCAUACAAUAAUAUUAUUCCAUUCUAACCUAAUAUUUACAAUACAUAAUAGUCGACUUACUUGUUAUUAAUUUAAUUAAAUAUUAUUUCUGGUUAUGUUAUACUUAUUAAAAUUACAAAAUACAAUUUCAAAUUACAAUUUACAAUUUUCGCAUAGCAGCACGGGAUCAAGUAGCUGUCCUCAGUGCCCCAUUUAAACAUUCCUCCAUUCCGUUCCAGGAACGUUGUACUUGUACGUGCGAGACAAGGAGCGCAAUAUAGAGUGCAAUGGACCGCCAGCGUCGUUACCACGACGCACGCACGAAUGAGGAAAAUACGAGAAUUAUACUGAGUUUAUUAUUAAAUCACUUAUUCAUUACUAUAUGUGUAACCGCCACGACACGGAAAACACUGAGGUUACUAACUAGAUUUUUUUUUCUAAGCCUGCUCUUCGAGACCUUUCUGGCCUUCAAAAUUUACGGCGUCGGCGCUCAGCGGCCACGGCGGUCGGCGACAGCGGCGCUCGGCGGCGACGGCGCCCGACGGCGACUCUGAGCCGAUUUCAGCAACCUUUAUAGAUCAAAAAAAACCAAAAGACAUUUUUUUGCAAAACUCAAGCCAGUCUCACCGAAAAGCCACACGCUUUAAGUACGUCGUUCGGAAGUGUCAUCCCAAUCUCAUGCUGUUCAAGCAGGCAAAGCAAGUGUUUUUCGAUUACACCUCUACGGAUUUUGAGGCUGUCCCACUCAUAUCCUUCAACUCGACUUGCUCGGCCAAUGAAAAUAAGUGUGUUAAUUAAGAAUGAGUACAUACUAAGGUGUCACUGUAGAACGUUAUGCCCGUGGACUCGAUUUCGUCAACACUAGAAGAAAACAGACUUACAAUACCAUAUAAUAUAAUCCGAUACGAUACGAUAAGAUGCGAUACGAUACAAUACAAUACAGACUUAUUUCGUGACCGUGACAUUUUAAAAGUAGUCUACAGAUUGUACGAACUGUUCCUUAAAGUAGUCUACAGAUUGUACGAACUGUUCCUAAAAGUAGUCUACAGAUUGUACGAACUGUUCCUAAAAGUCAACGAAACGGUAGCUGGUACUUACAGAAGAAAAUGAAAAUACUAACAUUUGAGGAGUUCCCUCGAUUCCUCAUGGACCUCAUCGUUCGAACUCGAAUUUGACAAAAAUUUGUCUUGAAAAUCUAAUUUACUUAACAAACACAGCGUAGAGGACAAAUCGCCAAACGUGUACUAUGCGUCGUUGAAGAGUUCCAUUCUGAUCAUCAUCAGCAGUUCCACUUCAUCAAAUGUCACUUUUUUAAAUGUAAAUACUUGAUUUGUUAAAGAAAAUACAGAAAUCACAAUA